UAAUGGUAUCUCUAUACCACUUUGCCUGCAC
Molecule: non-coding RNA, 31 nt
Filed under: Mus musculus (house mouse)
Lineage: Eukaryota; Metazoa; Chordata; Mammalia; Rodentia; Muridae
Source: RNAcentral